CCGCAACCUCGCCGCAGCCUCGCCUUCGAACACACCAUCCGCACACUUGGCACGGCGCACGCCACCACAGCCGAGGCCAAAGACGCAGCCAGAAACAACCUGGGUUCCGAUUCAAGACCUCUGGGUGCUGUGAGCUGCCGUGUUGUUACCGCGCUCACAGUUUUCCAGGCUUAUAAAAACACAUAAUAUCUAAUCACAGAAAACCCUAUUUUACCGCCAUCACUCCGUAUCAUCGCCAAAUAUUACACCCGGCUCUACGUCUGCAACACCCCAGACUUGUUCACCCCAGACUUGAGUAUGUUGUAAACAUAAGCACAUCCCUCUCACUAAUGUGAAAAUCUGCUUUCAUCUGUAAUAGACGGCAGCUGUCUACAACAUCAGCCCAGCCAAUGACAGUCGGAGAACGCUAAAUGGAAAUCUCCAGAAAUAAAUAAUUCAUGUUUUAAAA
This is a long non-coding RNA of Mesocricetus auratus (golden hamster), 448 nucleotides long. RefSeq lists it as uncharacterized. The record is from RefSeq and is a predicted model, not a curated record. Lineage: Eukaryota; Metazoa; Chordata; Mammalia; Rodentia; Cricetidae. The transcript is spliced from 3 exons.